This 469-nucleotide ribosomal RNA is filed under the name uncultured bacterium. Its description in RNAcentral is "bacterial SSU rRNA". It matches the Rfam family "Bacterial small subunit ribosomal RNA", at positions 355 to 825 of the family's 1533-position model. The record is from RNAcentral.
UGGGGAAUUUUGGACAAUGGGCGCAAGCCUGAUCCAGCCAUGCCGCGUGCGGGAAGAAGGCCUUCGGGUUGUAAACCGCUUUUGUCAGGGAAGAAACGGUCUGCACUAAUACUGCGGAUUAAUGACGGUACCUGAAGAAGCACCGGCUAACUCUGUGCCAGCAGCCGCGGUAAUACAGAGGGUGCGAGCGUUAAUCGGAAUUACUGGGCGUAAAGCGUGCGCAGGCGGCUCCUUAAGUCAGAUGUGAAAUCCCCGGGCUUAACCUGGGAACUGCGUUUGAAACUGAGGGGCUAGAGUGUGGAAGAGGGGGGUGGAAUUCCAGGUGUAGCAGUGAAAUGCGUAGAGAUCUGGAGGAACACCGAUGGCGAAGGCAGCCCCCUGGGCUAACACUGACGCUCAUGCACGAAAGCGUGGGGAGCAAACAGGAUUAGAUACCCCGGUAGUCCCUGAGCGGGCUGGCAAGGCGCAU